RNAcentral lists this ribosomal RNA (253 nucleotides) under uncultured bacterium. Its description in RNAcentral is "partial 16S ribosomal RNA". It matches the Rfam family "Bacterial small subunit ribosomal RNA", at positions 524 to 776 of the family's 1533-position model. The record is from RNAcentral.
UACGUAGGGCGCAAGCGUUGUCCGGAAUUAUUGGGCGUAAAGAGCUCGUAGGCGGUCUGUUACGUCCGCUGUGAAAACCCAGGGCUUAACCCUGGGCUUGCAGUGGAUACGGGUAGACUAGAGGCAGGUAGGGGAGAAUGGAAUUCCUGGUGUAGCGGUGAAAUGCGCAGAUAUCAGGAAGAACACCCGUGGCGAAGGCGGUUCUCUGGGACGGUACUGACGCUGAGACGCGAAAGCGUGGGGAGCGAACAGG